Molecule: ribosomal RNA, 231 nt
Filed under: Silene baccifera
Lineage: Eukaryota; Viridiplantae; Streptophyta; Magnoliopsida; Caryophyllales; Caryophyllaceae
Source: RNAcentral
UCACGCAUCGCGUCUCCCCCAAAUCCACCCCGAGUGGAGGGGAAGGAGGAUGGUCUCCCGCGACUCACCGGUCGCGGCUGGCCUAAAAUUGGAGCCCUCGGCAUCGGGAUGCUGCGGCGAUAGGUGGUGAACAAGGCCUUGGCCGAGCAAGCAACCCGUCGCGCAUCGCCAUGCCAAUGUGAGCUCGAAGGACCCUUUGAUGUUGCCUAAUAGCAACCAAACCUUUGCGAC